CCACGAAAACUACACUGUCUCCCCCCUACAAUCAAUGAAACUGAUCUCCCCGUGAAGAAGCGGGAAUAAACCUAUAAGACGAGAAGACCCCAUGGAGCUUAAAACUCAGUACCACCUACUCUUUACCACCUCAUAAUAACCCAGUAUGCAUGACUACUAGUUUUUGGUUGGGGUGACCGCGGAGUAAAACUUAACCUCCACAAUGAAUGGAACUAAAUUCCUAACUCUAGACCCACACCUCAAAAAAUUAAAAUAUUAACAUAACUUGACCCAAGCCAUUGAUCAACGAACCAAGUUACCCUGGGGAUAACAGCGCAAUCCAUUUUAAGAGCCCCUAUCGACAAAUGGGUUUACGACCUCGAUGUUGGAUCAGGGUAUCCUAGUGGUGCAGCCGCUACUAAAGGUUCGUUUGUUCAACGAUUAAAACCCUACG
RNAcentral lists this ribosomal RNA (433 nucleotides) under Astylosternus montanus. Its description in RNAcentral is "partial 16S ribosomal RNA". It matches the Rfam family "Bacterial large subunit ribosomal RNA", at positions 2002 to 2600 of the family's 2925-position model. The record is from RNAcentral. Lineage: Eukaryota; Metazoa; Chordata; Amphibia; Anura; Arthroleptidae.